UACGGAGGAUCCAAGCGUUAUCCGGAUUUAUUGGGUUUAAAGGGUGCGUAGGCGGUUUUAUAAGUUAGAGGUGAAAAUUCGGGGCUCAACUCCGGACGUGCCUCUAAUACUGUAUGACUAGAGAAUAGAUGCGGUAGGCGGAAUGUAUGGUGUAGCGGUGAAAUGCGUAGAGAUCAUACAGAACACCGAUUGCGAAGGCAGCUUACCAAACUAUAUCUGACGUUGAGGCACGAAAGCGUGGGGAGCAA
RNAcentral lists this ribosomal RNA (248 nucleotides) under uncultured Alistipes sp. RNAcentral describes it as "partial 16S ribosomal RNA". It matches the Rfam family "Bacterial small subunit ribosomal RNA", at positions 524 to 771 of the family's 1533-position model. Lineage: Bacteria; Pseudomonadati; Bacteroidota; Bacteroidia; Bacteroidales; Rikenellaceae. The record is from RNAcentral.